AGUACGCUAUGUGAAUCAUCGAAUCUUUGAACGCAUAUUGCACCCGACGGGCUCGCUCGUCGGGUCUGCCUGUCUGAGUAUCAGUACGGACCCAACUAAUAACCCAAGGCGGUCAGUGUUACUACUGACGCCUGCACGGUUGUUAUGUUGGUGCUCGUCGCCGCAUGUAUUUGCGCCGGCGGAUGUGAGUGUCCGGUUAAUAAUCAUAGCCUCUCACGGCUAUAUCGACCGGUCACUUGAAAUGCAUCAGUGCGAUUACUGUGAUCGUCAACCCGUUAGCAUUGUUGAUCAUCUUCCGAUGUUCUUUGCUAGUCCACGGAGACACUAACAGCGCACUAGGCGUAACUAUAUACUCGUAGUAGUCAUACUACUCUACCCAUCUUGAUCUCAGAUCAGGCAGGAUGACCCGCUGAACUUAAGCAUAUCAAUAAGCGGAGG
RNAcentral lists this ribosomal RNA (438 nucleotides) under uncultured Agaricales. RNAcentral describes it as "eukaryotic LSU rRNA". The stretch from base 383 to 438 matches the Rfam family "Eukaryotic large subunit ribosomal RNA", at positions 1 to 56 of the family's 3401-position model. Lineage: Eukaryota; Fungi; Basidiomycota; Agaricomycetes; Agaricales. The record is from RNAcentral.